This 92-nucleotide microRNA precursor is filed under the name Oryza longistaminata (longstamen rice). RNAcentral's name for it is "pre miRNA mir-598". The record is from RNAcentral. Lineage: Eukaryota; Viridiplantae; Streptophyta; Magnoliopsida; Poales; Poaceae.
UUCUAGCAUUUCCCACGUUCAUAUUGAUGUUAAUGAAUCUAGAUAGAUGUACAUGUCUAGAUUCAUUAACAUCAAUAUGAAUGUGCGACAUG